UACGUAGGUGGCAAGCGUUGUCCGGAUUUACUGGGCGUAAGGAGCGCGCAGGCGGUCGGAUUAGUCGCGUGUGAAAGCCCCCGGCUCAACUGGGGAGGGUCACGCGAUACUGUUCGACUCGAAGGCAGGAGAGGGAAGUGGAAUUCCCGGUGUAGUGGUGAAAUGCGUAGAUAUCGGGAGGAACACCAGUGGCGAAGGCGACUUCCUGGCCUGUUCUUGACGCUGAGGCGCGAAAGCUAGGGUAGCAAACGGG
This 253-nucleotide ribosomal RNA is filed under the name uncultured bacterium. Its description in RNAcentral is "partial 16S ribosomal RNA". It matches the Rfam family "Bacterial small subunit ribosomal RNA", at positions 524 to 776 of the family's 1533-position model. The record is from RNAcentral.